UACGUAGGGUGCGAGCGUUGUCCGGAAUUAUUGGGCGUAAAGGGCUCGUAGGCGGUUUGUCGCGUCGGGAGUGAAAUCCACUGGCUUAACUGGUGGCUUGCUUUCGAUACGGGCAGACUGGAGGUAUGCAGGGGAGAACGGAAUUCCUGGUGUAGCGGUGAAAUGCGCAGAUAUCAGGAGGAACACCGGUGGCGAAGGCGGCAUCCUGGACCAUAACUGACGCUGAGGCGCGAAAGCUAGGGGAGCAAACGGG
Molecule: ribosomal RNA, 253 nt
Filed under: uncultured bacterium
Lineage: Bacteria
Description: partial 16S ribosomal RNA
Rfam family: Bacterial small subunit ribosomal RNA
Source: RNAcentral